CCUACGGGGGGCAGCAGUGAGGAAUAUUGGUCAAUGGACGAGAGUCUGAACCAGCCAAGUAGCGUGAAGGAUGACUGCCCUAUGGGUUGUAAACUUCUUUUAUAUGGGAAUAAAAUGUUCCACGUGUGGGAUUUUGUAUGUACCAUAUGAAUAAGGAUCGGCUAACUCCGUGCCAGCAGCCGCGGUAAUACGGAGGAUCCGAGCGUUAUCCGGAUUUAUUGGGUUUAAGGGGAGCGUAGGUGGAUGGUUAAGUCAGUUGUGAAAGUUUGCGGCUCAACCGUAAAAUUGCAGUUGAAACUGGCAGUCUUGAGUACAGUAGAGGUGGGCGGAAUUCGUGGUGUAGCGGUGAAAUGCUUAGAUAUCACGAAGAACUCCGAUUGCGAAGGCAGUUCACUGGACUGCAACUGACACUGAGGCUCGAAAGUGUGGGUAUCAAACAGGAUUAGAUACCCGAGUAGUC
Molecule: ribosomal RNA, 460 nt
Filed under: uncultured bacterium
Lineage: Bacteria
Description: partial 16S ribosomal RNA
Rfam family: Bacterial small subunit ribosomal RNA
Source: RNAcentral